AGAGUACCGUGAGGGAAAGGUGAAAAGAACCCUGAGCAAGGGAGUGAAAUAGAAUUUGAAACCGUGUGCUUACAAGCGGUAGGAGCCCUUAGGGGUGACUGCGUGGAUUUUGGUUAAUCAUCCUGCGAGUUAUGAUGUGUGGCGAGGUUAAGUGUAAGCGGAGCCGAAGGGAAACCGAGUCUUAAUAGGGCGACGAGUCGCAUGUCAUAGACGCGAAACCUAGUGAUCUAGGCCUGUCCAGGCUGAAGCUGAGGUAAGACUCAGUGGAGGGCCGAACUCACCGCCGUUGAAAAGUUGGGAGAUGAGAUAGGUCUAGGGGUGAAAAGCCAAUCGAACUAGGAGAUAGCUCGUUCUCUCCGAAAUGCAUUUAGGUGCAGCCUUGGUUGAAGAUAUGCGGGGGUAGAGCACUGUAUGGCCUAGGGGGCGUAUAGCUUACCGAAGUCAAGCAAACUGCGAAUACCGUAUAUUGUUUACCAGGAGUGAGUCUACGGAUGACAAGGUCCGUGGACGAGAGGGGAACAGCCCGGACCGCCAGCUAAGGUCCCAAAUUAUGUCUAAGUGGGAAAGGAGGUGGAUAUUCACAGACAACCAGGAGGUUGGCUUAGAAGCAGCCAUACCUUGAAAGAGUGCGUAAUAGCUCACUGGUCGAGAGUAUCUGCGCCGAAGAUAUAACGGGGCUAAGACAUGAACCGAAGCUGCGGAAGCGUGGUAACACGUUUGGUAGGAGAGCGUUCUGUAGGCCGUAGAAGGUGUCCUGAAAGGGAUGCUGGAGGUAUCAGAAGUGAGAAUGCAGGAAUGAGUAGCGAGAAGGAGGGCGAGAAUCCCUCCGGCCGGAAGUCCAAGGUUUCCAGGGGAAGGUUUGUCCGCCCUGGGGGAGUCGGGACCUAAGCAUAAGCAGAGCUGCGAAGGCGAAUGGAAAACAGGUUAAUAUUCCUGUACCGCUGUGUACUGACUGAGAGAUGGAGUGACGCAGGAAGGUAUGCGGGAAGGCUGACGGAAUAGCCUUUCUAAGGGUGAAGCGUGGACAUAUAGGCAAAUCCGUAUGUUUAAACGUGAGGCCUGACGGGUAAGUACCUUAGGGUAUAAGCCGCAGAUCCUACACUGCCGGGAAAAACUUCUAUUUAGGGAAGCAGCGCCCGUACUGUAAACCGACACAGGUGGACAGAGUGAGAAACUUAAGGCCGACAGGAUAACUCUAGCUAAGGAACUCUGCAAAAUAGCCCCGUAACUUCGGGAGAAGGGGUGCCUAUAUUACUUGAGAAGAGAAACACUUCAAGGGGAAAUAGGUCGCAGUGAAGAGUCUCAAGCAACUGUUUACCAAAAACACAGGUCUAUGCUAAGCUGAAAGGCGACGUAUAUGGGCUGACACCUGCCCAGUGCCGGAAGGUUAAGAGGAGGAGUGAGAGCUCCGAUUUGAAGCCCCGGUGAACGGCGUCCUAAGGUAGCGAAAUUCCUUGUCGGGUAAGUUCCGACCUGCACGAAUGGUGAAAUGAUUUGGGAGCUGUCUUGGCCGGAGACCUGGUGAAGUUGUAAUGCCGGUGAAGAUACCGGUUACCUGCAGUAGGACGGAAAGACCCCGUGGAGCUUUACUGUAGCCUGGCAUUGGGUUUCGGCAAUGUGUGUAUAGGAUAGCUGGGAGGCUAUGAAGAUAUGGCGUCAGCUGUAUUGGAGCCGCUGUUGGAAUACCAGCCACGCAUUGUUGGGAUUCUAAUCUCAAGAGAUGGGAGACAGUGCUAGGUGGGCAGUUUGACUGGGGCGGUCGCCUCCAAAAGAGUAACGGAGGCGUUCAAAGGUUCCCUCAGGCUGGAUGGAAAUCAGCCGGAGAGUGCAAACGCAUAAGGGAGCUUGACUGCGAGACUGACGGGUCGAGCAGGCACGAAAGUGGGAGUUAGUGAUCCGGCGGUGCUGAAUGGAAAGGCCGUCGCUCAACGGAUAAAAGCUACCCCGGGGAUAACAGGCUGAUACUUCCCAAGAGUCCAUAUCGACGGAAGUGUUUGGCACCUCGAUGUCGGCUCGUCUCAUCCUGGGGCUGGAGAAGGUCCCAAGGGUUGGGCUGUUCGCCCAUUAAAGAGGCACGCGAGCUGGGUUCAGAACGUCGUGAGACAGUUCGGUCCCUAUCCA
RNAcentral lists this ribosomal RNA (2121 nucleotides) under human metagenome. RNAcentral's name for it is "bacterial LSU rRNA". It matches the Rfam family "Bacterial large subunit ribosomal RNA", at positions 495 to 2644 of the family's 2925-position model. The record is from RNAcentral.